GCUUCCAUGGCUCAGCUGGUUAGAGCGCCGGUCUCAUACCAUGACCUCUGAUUUAGAGGGUAAUCCGGAGAUCGCCAGUUCGAUCCUGGCUGGGAGCA
Molecule: non-coding RNA, 98 nt
Organism: Heliocybe sulcata
Lineage: Eukaryota; Fungi; Basidiomycota; Agaricomycetes; Gloeophyllales; Gloeophyllaceae
Source: the annotation of a GenBank genome assembly